RNAcentral lists this long non-coding RNA (420 nucleotides) under Hordeum vulgare. Its description in RNAcentral is "long non-coding RNA (HVUL_LNC000090)". Lineage: Eukaryota; Viridiplantae; Streptophyta; Magnoliopsida; Poales; Poaceae. The record is from RNAcentral.
GCCGAGGCGACGUCCGUUCCCGGGGGCCACCGGGGCGGCGGCGGCGGCGGCGGCGGGGGCCAUGGACGAUAGCCACUUUCUUUACUCUGUAUGUGCGUGGCAGCCGGCGCGCGCUCUCCCCCUCCUCUCGUAGGCGGUGGGAGGAAGGGGGCCGUGAAAGGAAAAGAAUCCGGCCAAGGGGGGAUGCGUGGAGGCCUCACGCACGGCGGGAAGCGGACAAGAAUGGGGCGCGGGGAGGAUAUCAGGCGGUGGUUGCUUGGCGGCAAGAAACGCCGGAGGAAGAAGACGCGUGUGGCUGCUGAUUUCCGGUCAGCUGCGAGGACCAGGAUGUGGGAGAAGAGAUAUCAUUUUUCAUCUCAUUUUCUGUCCAUAUCUGGGUGGAUGAUGGUCGCGUGUUUGCAUCAUUUUUUUCCAAAGAAA